CCUACGGGAGGCAGCAGUGGGGAAUUUUGGACAAUGGGCGAAAGCCUGAUCCAGCCAUUCCGCGUGAGUGAAGAAGGCCUUCGGGUUGUAAAGCUCUUUCGCAAGGGAAGAAAACUUAGUCUCUAACAUAGACUGAGGUUGACGGUACCUUGAUAAGAAGCACCGGCUAACUACGUGCCAGCAGCCGCGGUAAUACGUAGGGUGCGAGCGUUAAUCGGAAUUACUGGGCGUAAAGCGUGCGCAGGCGGUUUUGUAAGUCAGAUGUGAAAUCCCCGAGCUCAACUUGGGAACUGCGUUUGAAACUACAAGACUAGAAUAUGUCAGAGGGGGGUAGAAUUCCACGUGUAGCAGUGAAAUGCGUAGAGAUGUGGAGGAAUACCAAUGGCGAAGGCAGCCCCCUGGGAUAAUAUUGACGCUCAUGCACGAAAGCGUGGGGAGCAAACAGGAUUAGAUACCCUGGUAGUCCACGCCCUAAACGAUGUCUACUAGUUGUUGGUGGAGUAAAAUCCAUGAGUAACGCAGCUAACGCGUGAAGUAGACCGCCGNGGGAGGUACGGUCGCGAGAGUUAAACGUACGAAGAAGUAGAGGCGNGAGAGNGCGAGGACGACGACGAGGGAGGAGG
This 623-nucleotide ribosomal RNA is filed under the name uncultured bacterium. Its description in RNAcentral is "bacterial SSU rRNA". The stretch from base 1 to 544 matches the Rfam family "Bacterial small subunit ribosomal RNA", at positions 338 to 873 of the family's 1533-position model. The record is from RNAcentral.